This 897-nucleotide ribosomal RNA is filed under the name uncultured bacterium. RNAcentral describes it as "bacterial SSU rRNA". It matches the Rfam family "Bacterial small subunit ribosomal RNA", at positions 8 to 918 of the family's 1533-position model. The record is from RNAcentral.
AGAGUUUGAUCCUGGCUCAGGAUGAACGCUAGCGGCAGGCCUAAUACAUGCAAGUCGAACGGUGUCUUCGGACAUAGUGGCGCACGGGUGCGUAACACGUAUGCAACCUACCUUACAUUGGGGGAUAGCCUUUCGAAAGGGAGAUUAAUACCGCAUAAGACAGUAGUCUGGCAUCAGACAGCUGUUAAAGAUUUAUCGAUGUAAGCUGGGCAUGCGACCAAUUAGUUAGUUGGCGAGGUAAUGGCUCACCAAGACUAUGAUUGGUAGGGGAACUGAGAGGUCAAUCCCCCACACUGGCACUGAGAUACGGGCCAGACUCCUACGGGAGGCAGCAGUAGGGAAUAUUGGGCAAUGGACGCAAGUCUGACCCAGCCAUGCCGCGUGCAGGAAGAAGGCGUUAUGCGUUGUAAACUGCUUUUAUACAGGAAGAAACGACUCUUGCGAGAGGCAUUGACGGUACUGUAUGAAUAAGCACCGGCUAACUCCGUGCCAGCAGCCGCGGUAAUACGGAGGGUGCAAGCGUUGUCCGGAUUUAUUGGGUUUAAAGGGUGCGCAGGUGGUUUAUUAAGUCAGUGGUGAAAGACGGUCGCUCAACGAUUGCAGUGCCAUUGAAACUGGUAGACUUGAGUAAAGUAGAGGUGGGCGGAAUUGAUAGUGUAGCGGUGAAAUGCAUAGAUAUUAUCAAGAACUCCAAUUGCGUAGGCAGCUCACUUGGCUUUUACUGACACUCAUGCACGAAAGUGUGGGUAUCAAACAGGAUUAGAUACCCUGGUAGUCCACACUGUAAACGAUGAUAACUAGGUGUCGGCCGAAUCUGGUCGGUGCCACAGCGAAAGCGUUAAGUUAUCCACCUGGGGAGUACGCCGGCAACGGUGAAACUCAAAGGAAUUGACGGGG